UACGAGUGGUGCAAGCGUUAUUCGGAAUCAUUGGGCGUAAAGGGUGUGUAGGCGGUAUAUCAAGUCUGUUGUUAAAUCUCUCAGCCUAACUGGGAAAAUGCAGCGGAAACUGAUGUGCUAGAGGAUGGAAGAGAGAAGUGGAAUUCUCGGAGUAGCGGUAAAAUGCGUAGAUCUCGAGAGGAACACCGAUGGCGAAGGCAGCUUCUUGGUCCAUUCCUGACGCUGAUACACGAAAGCGUGGGGAGCAAACAGG
Molecule: ribosomal RNA, 253 nt
Filed under: uncultured bacterium
Lineage: Bacteria
Description: partial 16S ribosomal RNA
Rfam family: Bacterial small subunit ribosomal RNA
Source: RNAcentral